AUACGUAGGGUGCAAGCGUUAAUCGGAAUUACUGGGCGUAAAGGGUGCGCAGGCGGUUUCGUAAGUCAGAUGUGAAAGCCCCGGGCUUAACCUGGGAAUUGCGUUUGAAACUACGGAACUAGAGUGCAGCAGAGGGGAGUGGAAUUCCACGUGUAGCAGUGAAAUGCGUAGAUAUGUGGAGGAACACCGAUGGCGAAGGCAGCUCCCUGGGUUGGCACUGACGCUCAUGCACGAAAGCGUGGGGAGCAAACAGGAUUAGAUACCCUGGUAGUCCACGCUAUAAACUAUGUCAACUAGUUGUCGGAUCUAAUUGAGGAUUUGGUAACGUAGCUAACGCGUGAAGUUGACCGCCUGGGGAGUACGGUCGCAAGAUUAAA
This 377-nucleotide ribosomal RNA is filed under the name uncultured bacterium. Its description in RNAcentral is "bacterial SSU rRNA". It matches the Rfam family "Bacterial small subunit ribosomal RNA", at positions 523 to 898 of the family's 1533-position model. The record is from RNAcentral.